GUCUUGGUCACCACCAGGUGACAACUGCACCAAGUAUGAUUGCCAGAAGGUGAAGGAUGAGUUUAUACUUUCUAAAAACCACAUAACAUGUCCUGAAUUUGAUCCAAAGAACUGCAUUCCUGGAACUGAACAAACUGACAUGAAUGGUUGUUGCAAAACCUGUAUUCCUCGUUCCAACUGUCAAAAGAAGACAAACACCACCUAUCUGCGGAUAAAGAA
Molecule: long non-coding RNA, 219 nt
Organism: Lates calcarifer (barramundi perch)
Lineage: Eukaryota; Metazoa; Chordata; Actinopteri; Centropomidae
Exons: 3
Source: RefSeq, a predicted model, not a curated record